Molecule: long non-coding RNA, 2131 nt
Filed under: Pomacea canaliculata
Lineage: Eukaryota; Metazoa; Mollusca; Gastropoda; Architaenioglossa; Ampullariidae
Description: uncharacterized LOC112564032
Source: RNAcentral
GAAGCAUCUGAUAUCUGCCCUCAGACUAAACUGUAAUUAUGGUCAAGACAGCUUUGAUGGCGAUGUUGCUGCUGACAUCACAAUUGGCGUUAAUAUCGUCUCAACUCAUUGGAGGAUGGUCGGAUUUCUUGUUGGACAGCAAAGGAACUGUACCAGAACCUACGACUAACAGUCCUACUACUGGAGCUCCAGACCUCAAACCACAACCCGUUACAAAGCCGAGUUCAUUCCAUCCAAAUAUGUUUCGUUGGCUGCUGGCAAGACAUCUGGACUAACCUCUCGUCUGUCGUCAGACCAGGGAGCGAGGACAACACAGUUCCUGCUGGCGACAAGGACUACCAACAUGGCGGCAAGGACUACCAACAUGGCGGCAAGGACUACCAACAUGGCGGACAACGUGUGCGGGCGUCAUUUGACGUCUGUCCCGUGGCUUCUACAGAACUGAUUUACGAACGACAGGAAGGUGUUGCUGGUGUGUGUGUGUACAUAGACUGCUAGCAGACAGCAAGUGUGUGCAGUCAAGCGGCACAACAUACAAAAGGUGAUGUUAAGAUGUUGUGAAUCAUGACAGAAGCUCUACUGCUGUCACCUCGUGAAAUCCUGUAUUUACAGUGCUCGUGAUGUGUUUUCUUCGCCUUUAAAUUAUUUUCCUUUGUUUUCAAAUGUUACACCUAACACAUUUCCUCACUUACAUCAUGUAUAUGUUUUGCACAACAUUUAAUAUUGUUAAAUCUUUGUCCCAAAUAAGUCCAUGACAACGGUAUUAUCAACAAUGACAGGCUGCAGAUGACAGGCUUGAAGCAUUCACCUGCUCUUGAUUUAAAUUGAUAAAAAGAAUUUUUCGAGGUAUGCGUGUUACAUUCUUCUAUUUUACUUCUCGGAUAUGUCUGUGAUUUUAUGUGACCAAGUGCUGAUUGAGACACAUACACACAGUUAAGCAUUUGAGGCUAAAUGUCCCUCUUGACUAAUAGCCCCUCACAACUUCUUCUCUAUGAAAGAUUACAGUAAACUAGCUGGUGAUUCAAAGUAAACAAGUUUACCUUAAAUUAUAUAUACUAGCACAUGAUUUAAAGUAAAUAAGAUCAAAAUAAAAAAAUCUUAAGUGUUGUGAGGGUGUGUACUGCUGGGUAUUAAAACUCUGAAAAAUAUAAAGACAAUUUGUAAAUAAAGAAUAUGACCUGGAGAAUGAGAGAAUAAAAAUAAAACGAAGAAAGGGACACAAAAAAAGAAACAGAAUUCAUCAAUGUGCGUCUUAUUUAUUAAUAAAUAGUGCCUUCACUAGAGAACAUUUGUCUUUGUACCAGAGAGAAAUGGGAUGUCUCCCCUCUCUCUCUUUGGCGUGUGCGUGUGUGGGUUGAAAAUACAAUUAUAAUGACAAGCUGAAGACAAGGAACAAUGUAAUGCCAGCGCAAAUUAACAUACGUGGCAAGAGAAAAGAAUGUGUUGAUGCCCCGACACAGAGAUAUAUUUCAUCACAUCAGGGAGGCAUAUAAGAACCGCCUCACACAGACAUUUGAAGACAAAGUCUGUUGGCUCUCUGCCAGCCACCAUACUCCGUGUGCUCACAUAAAAAGCAUCACCAACAUUUGCAAGAGUCAGUGAAAGACAUGGCGUUGAUGUGGCUGUUCAUCUUCGUUGCCUUGGUGACAGGCGUUCUGUCACAAGGUCUGUUCCCAAAUGAUUUCCUGGGGAGCUCAGGGGGACUCAGCAACUUUGGUGCAAGUCCUCCCGUGGCGCCACCUCCACCCCCCACGGACCCGAGUCGCAUGAUGAUGCUGAUGUACACACUUUCGGGAAUGUUCUAAGGCAGCUGACUCUGGGAUUAAGGUCGCUCCAUGUUUCUUAUCGUCUGCUUCACCGACUUUGUCUCCAAGAAAUAUAAGGUCACGCCAAGUGAACUGUCAGGCAGUUGAUAGAAAAUAGCGACAAGCAAAUGUCGGAAUGCUGCUAAGUACGAUAAAUUACUUUCCUUUUUCUUGAUAUGUUUUUAGCAUCAUUUUGCGAUGAUUCAAAAUGUAACAUACCGUUUAUGGGAUCUCUAAUGUCCAUUUUAUUUUGUGCUCUUCAUGGUGCAUGCUGUUGUACUGCUGUCAUUAGACUAAUGCCUCCAAUAAAAAGAUUCUCAAUGCUG